This 1010-nucleotide long non-coding RNA is filed under the name Populus tremula. RNAcentral describes it as "long non-coding RNA (PTRE_LNC000768)". The record is from RNAcentral. Lineage: Eukaryota; Viridiplantae; Streptophyta; Magnoliopsida; Malpighiales; Salicaceae.
AAAAAACACAUUCAUAAAAAAAUACAAAUACACACAUUUACUAUUACUAUAUUUUCCUUUUUUUUCCACAUUUGCAAGCUACAAAUUAUAAAAAUUCACAACUAAACAAAUAGUACAUUAAACAAUUUGAAAUUUACAAAAUAAAACCCCAUAAAAUUCAGAACAAUGCCAGGCAGCCCUCUCACACUUCAAGAACAACGGUGGCGCUUGGCUUCACACGCCGCCGCAUGCAAAACCUACAAACGGGUGGUCUGGCUUGGCUUCUUCUCCUCUUCCUUUUUGCACUGGCAGUGACAAGCAAUAUCACCUGCAAAGUAAAUAAAACAUGGCAAACAGUCGAUUUUGUUCGGUUUUAGAUAUGUUCAAAGCCUUAUGCUCUCUUUACCUCCUGGUUAGGUUUUUUCUUCUACCAAUGGCAAAUCUGGUUGUUGAUGUCGUCUGUGGCUGCUGAAACUACAAUGGAUAUGGGAGGUGGUUGUCCAGUCAGGAGGUUCAGUUGGAAGUGGAUCUACGGGUCCAGCCAUGAGCAGGGUGCUGCUGGGGGUCUACUUUGGGUCUUGGUAAGCUGGUCGGUGAUGGUGCGAAGAAGACAGGAUGAGCGACAGACAGGUUUGUGGUAUGCAGAGGGAAGGUCUUGGUCGGACAUGUGGUGAGCAGCUGGAGGAAGGGAGCUUGUUCGGUGUGGGAGAUGGAGGUGCAGCGAUGGCUGGCUUCUAUAGGUGAAAAAGAAGAACAAGCCAGCUGAGAGAGGAGAUGAUAGAGGGAGUGUUGGCUGUUGUGGAGGGAAAUGGGGCUGCUGUGAUGUAGAUUGAAGAUGAGAGGAAAUGGGGGAAAGAUCGGGUGUCGGUUGAAAGGAAAAUGAGGGCUAGUCUUCUUCUCAGUCGGCUUAAGGGAGAACAAAUGGAAAUGAGGUUAGAGGGGGGUGGCGACACUGCUUUGAGAAGGUAAAGUUAGGUCAUUUUUAGGUUUUUUUUUAUGGUUCUUUCCUUUAUGCACCAAAAUUACCCUCU